This is a long non-coding RNA of Nematostella vectensis (starlet sea anemone), 264 nucleotides long. RefSeq lists it as uncharacterized. The record is from RefSeq and is a predicted model, not a curated record. Lineage: Eukaryota; Metazoa; Cnidaria; Anthozoa; Actiniaria; Edwardsiidae. The transcript has 2 exons.
AAAAGCGGUUGAAAAGAACGCAGAUAAAGUGCAGGAAACCUGGCCACCGACCCAACCACAAUUCAGAAACGAAGCGACAGACAUCGGCAGGCCAGACAGCGGGAUGAAACAGUCGCUAAGGAUUAAGUGUUUCUUUGUUUGUUUAUGGGUCUUUGUCGCUUUUAUACAAGACAAGUGCGUGAAAGGUGCGCCAACACUCAAAGAGCGAAAAAGAACACAGGCGAGAACGUAUUUGCUUAAAUAAAUUGUCUAAAUCGAUUCCAG